Ribosomal RNA from Callithrix jacchus (white-tufted-ear marmoset), 119 nucleotides. Lineage: Eukaryota; Metazoa; Chordata; Mammalia; Primates; Cebidae. The record is from Ensembl.
GUCUAUGGCCAUACCAUGCUGAAUGCUCCUGAUCCCAUCUGAUGUCAGAAGCUAAGUAGGGUUGGGCCUGGUUAAUACUUGGAUGGGAGACUGUAUGGGAAUACUGGGUGCUGUAGGCU